Molecule: long non-coding RNA, 631 nt
Organism: Topomyia yanbarensis
Lineage: Eukaryota; Metazoa; Arthropoda; Insecta; Diptera; Culicidae
Exons: 2
Source: RefSeq, a predicted model, not a curated record
CUGCAGUUUAACAACUAUAACGUUUCUAGUUUUCAAUAGUUCAGAAUGGAUUCAAUUGUUGAAACGUUCAAGAAUAUUGUCAAGUCCGGAACCGACCUACUGCAGCAGUUGUUCAACGUGACGGCGGCUCCGAUUCUGCAAAAGUUCCAAAAACCAACCGAGAACCCACUGGCGGAAUGGAUCUUUUAAGUUCAGUAAAAGGCAUUUCAUAAAAAAAUUAACCCGGAUGCCAAUUCGACCAUAACCUAUGUUGCUCGGAAAUUGUUUCGAGUAUUGUAUAUAUGACGGUAAGCCAUCUAACUACUCCAUCUAUUAAUUUCCAUUUAUUGAUUGUUGGAAGGUUUUCUGGUAGAACAUGCUGUAGAAGUUAUCCAUCAAACUUAAAAAACAAACAAAAGGUGCGCAAAAGAUAAGAUCAAAAACUUUAUUUUGUACAUUUAGCCACAAUUCCCAACAUUUUGGAUAUUUUAACACGAAAUUGGAAAUAGUGGACUGAGGUAAGGUCACAUGUGCUUUCAAGCCCCUUAAACAGAGAGCGACAUAGAGAGAGAAUGCAAUUCGCGAGUGAAGCAGGUAGUUAUCUCAAAUUUGCAAAGAAAUAAACAGAAGGCAGUGUGGAGUGUUUAAGCUA